AGAAGAGCUUGCUCUUCGAUUCAGCGGCGGACGGGUGAGUAAUGCCUAGGAAUCUGCCUGGUAGUGGGGGACAACGUUUCGAAAGGAACGCUAAUACCGCAUACGUCCUACGGGAGAAAGCAGGGGACCUUCGGGCCUUGCGCUAUCAGAUGAGCCUAGGUCGGAUUAGCUAGUUGGUGAGGUAAUGGCUCACCAAGGCGACGAUCCGUAACUGGUCUGAGAGGAUGAUCAGUCACACUGGAACUGAGACACGGUCCAGACUCCUACGGGAGGCAGCAGUGGGGAAUAUUGGACAAUGGGCGAAAGCCUGAUCCAGCCAUGCCGCGUGUGUGAAGAAGGUCUUCGGAUUGUAAAGCACUUUAAGUUGGGAGGAAGGGCAGUAAGCGAAUACCUUGCUGUUUUGACGUUACCGACAGAAUAAGCACCGGCUAACUCUGUGCCAGCAGCCGCGGUAAUACAGAGGGUGCAAGCGUUAAUCGGAAUUACUGGGCGUAAAGCGCGCGUAGGUGGUUUGUUAAGUCGGAUGUGAAAGCCCCGGGCUCAACCUGGGAACUGCAUCCAAAACUGGCAAGCUAGAGUACAGUANAGGGUGGUGGAAUUUCCUGUGUAGCGGUGAAAUGCGUA
Molecule: ribosomal RNA, 624 nt
Filed under: Pseudomonas sp. Muzt-F23
Lineage: Bacteria; Pseudomonadati; Pseudomonadota; Gammaproteobacteria; Pseudomonadales; Pseudomonadaceae
Description: bacterial SSU rRNA
Rfam family: Bacterial small subunit ribosomal RNA
Source: RNAcentral